UUUUAGACUCUAAAACCAAGUCCGCACCAGAGAUUCAGAUAAGGGGUUCAUUUGACUCAGGGAGAAGGUGUUAGGCACUCCCCAAGUCCCGUGAAGGUCACGGUUGCGUACUCGAUCUAGUUGGCUUUUAGAAUAUUCGAUUGAGGUAAAAUAAACACAGAAAAAAACACGCAAGAGGUCCGAGGUCGCUCCCACCUAAUAAAAGGAAAAUAAACUAAAGCUAAAAAUACUAUGAGUUUCACUUUAGGCCUCCAACUACAAGUAAUUCGGGGCAUUCCCCGAAAUAAAAUAUAUAUAAGUCCUUCGGGCAUUUUCCGGAUGAAUUCAACUAAAGGAGGACCUCUCGCCUCGAAACCACAAACAAAUAAAUAUUUUAAAAUUGCCUACCCAAGUGUUGUCGGCCUAAAAUAUACCACUAGCGAAUAAUAACAAUACAAACCAAAAUGAAGUAACAAACAAAAACAAUAAAGCAACAUAAAAAUAAAUACAAUAUUUUAUACCCCAAACCCAACUCACGUGUGAACUUUAUCAAACAAGGUUAAUUUCAUAUUCAAAUUCUUCUAAAAUUAUCAAACCCCAACCAACCAGUAUAUGUUUUACUACCCAACCCACUAAAAAAUCUAUUAAUUUAAUUCUCCUAUUAUUAAAUUAUAAUCCUAGACCAUUCAAACCUCAAUGCAUAACCGAGCUAAAAUUCCGAUCUAGCUAUCAAAAUUCAUACGACAAAAUAGAGCUAAACAACACAAAAGGUAAUCAAGAACACAAACAUUCUCUAAUUAAAAGAUGAGAAAAAAAAACAAGAGGGGGUAACAUUCAGACCUUUCAUUGGAGAACAAAGUCGAAAAUGGCAACUCGACGGGCUAAACAGAGCAAGGCCACCGGACUGAAAAAACUGAAGCUAUGAAUUAGAACUUCGGCAUAAAAGCCUCGCCGGAAGCUUCGAACGGUCACUGAAAAAACUGAAGCUAUAAAUUAGAACUUCGGCAUAGAAGCCUCGCCGGAAGCUUCGAACGGAUCUCACGCGACUCAGCCUCAAUCGGACUCCAUUGUUGAAACCAAAAUCGAAGAGAAGCAGAACUGAAAUCUUUUUUUACUGAUUUUUAAAAAUGAAAAAUAAAACUUUAAUCAAGAACUAAUUUCAAAUUGUUUUCAUUCUUUCGUCCCCCAAAUUCUAUCUCGUUCCCUCUCCUUUCUCCUAUUCCCGUCCCUAUUUCUGCUCUGUGUGUCUUGCACGUUUUUGUGCUGCUGGUGGUUAAGGGUGGUCGUUUGAGUGAAGAAGAAGGUGAAGAUGGGUGGAGAAGAAGCAGGGUUUUGCGUCUCUGUGUGUGGUCUCCGGUUUCAGGCAUUCAUGUUGGUCGUUUAGGGUGGUAUUGACUGUGAGGGUGCAAGGUCGGUUCUUCUACUUGGCCACUGUAGGCAGUUAUGGUGGUUGUUUAGGGUGGUAUUGACCGUGAGGGUGCAAGGUCGGUACUUCCGUUUGGCCGCUGCUCUUCUCCGGUCGGUUCCAAGGUCUAGGGUUUAGCUUUGUGUUUUGUUGUUGUUGAAGGUUGAAGAAGAUAGGCAGCCAUGGAUGGUCUUCUAGGUUUUAGUAUAUCCUCCCCUUUAAGAAGUUCUUCUUUUGAAAAAGGAAGUGGGAUAAAAUUAGGUCUUUGGUGGUGAG
Molecule: long non-coding RNA, 1660 nt
Filed under: Nicotiana benthamiana
Lineage: Eukaryota; Viridiplantae; Streptophyta; Magnoliopsida; Solanales; Solanaceae
Description: long non-coding RNA (NBEN_LNC005079)
Source: RNAcentral